RNAcentral lists this ribosomal RNA (253 nucleotides) under uncultured bacterium. RNAcentral describes it as "partial 16S ribosomal RNA". It matches the Rfam family "Bacterial small subunit ribosomal RNA", at positions 524 to 776 of the family's 1533-position model. The record is from RNAcentral.
UACGUAGGGGGCAAGCGUUAUCCGGAAUUACUGGGUGUAAAGGGAGCGUAGACGGUAAUGUAAGUCUGGAGUGAAAGGCGGGGGCCCAACCCCCGGACUGCUCUGGAAACUAUGUUACUAGAGUGCAGGAGAGGUAAGCGGAAUUCCUAGUGUAGCGGUGAAGUGCGUAGAUAUUAGGAGGAACACCAGUGGCGAAGGCGGCUUACUGGACUGUAACUGACGUUGAGGCUCGAAAGCGUGGGGAGCAAACAGG